This 977-nucleotide ribosomal RNA is filed under the name Enterococcus hirae. RNAcentral's name for it is "bacterial SSU rRNA". It matches the Rfam family "Bacterial small subunit ribosomal RNA", at positions 56 to 1004 of the family's 1533-position model. The record is from RNAcentral. Lineage: Bacteria; Bacillati; Bacillota; Bacilli; Lactobacillales; Enterococcaceae.
UGCAGUCGAACGCUUCUUUUUCCACCGGAGCUUGCUCCACCGGAAAAAGAGGAGUGGCGAACGGGUGAGUAACACGUGGGUAACCUGCCCAUCAGAAGGGGAUAACACUUGGAAACAGGUGCUAAUACCGUAUAACAAUCGAAACCGCAUGGUUUUGAUUUGAAAGGCGCUUUCGGGUGUCGCUGAUGGAUGGACCCGCGGUGCAUUAGCUAGUUGGUGAGGUAACGGCUCACCAAGGCGACGAUGCAUAGCCGACCUGAGAGGGUGAUCGGCCACAUUGGGACUGAGACACGGCCCAAACUCCUACGGGAGGCAGCAGUAGGGAAUCUUCGGCAAUGGACGAAAGUCUGACCGAGCAACGCCGCGUGAGUGAAGAAGGUUUUCGGAUCGUAAAACUCUGUUGUUAGAGAAGAACAAGGAUGAGAGUAACUGUUCAUCCCUUGACGGUAUCUAACCAGAAAGCCACGGCUAACUACGUGCCAGCAGCCGCGGUAAUACGUAGGUGGCAAGCGUUGUCCGGAUUUAUUGGGCGUAAAGCGAGCGCAGGCGGUUUCUUAAGUCUGAUGUGAAAGCCCCCGGCUCAACCGGGGAGGGUCAUUGGAAACUGGGAGACUUGAGUGCAGAAGAGGAGAGUGGAAUUCCAUGUGUAGCGGUGAAAUGCGUAGAUAUAUGGAGGAACACCAGUGGCGAAGGCGGCUCUCUGGUCUGUAACUGACGCUGAGGCUCGAAAGCGUGGGGAGCAAACAGGAUUAGAUACCCUGGUAGUCCACGCCGUAAACGAUGAGUGCUAAGUGUUGGAGGGUUUCCGCCCUUCAGUGCUGCAGCUAACGCAUUAAGCACUCCGCCUGGGGAGUACGACCGCAAGGUUGAAACUCAAAGGAAUUGACGGGGGCCCGCACAAGCGGUGGAGCAUGUGGUUUAAUUCGAAGCAACGCGAAGAACCUUACCAGGUCUUGACAUCCUUUGACCACUCUAGA